AGUACUUGUUGUCGAACACGUCGGGCGUGCGCACGUCGAGGGUCUGAUUGACGGUGCCCUGGGGCACGUCCUUGGCGCACUUGGCCCGCAGCCUCCUGGCGAAUAGCGGGUCGAUGAGCGGGUUGAGGUCGAUGUUGGGAGCGAAGCGGUCGGAGAAGACGGGGCAGUGGGCGACGCCGAAGGUGUGCGCGCCGGAGAGCGAGACGAGGUCGGCCACGUCGAGGCUCCGGUUGCCGAAGGAGGAGAUGAGAGUCGGCACGUCGAAGGAGGGCGCCGGCAGGGUGUCCACGAG
RNAcentral lists this long non-coding RNA (292 nucleotides) under Hordeum vulgare. RNAcentral's name for it is "long non-coding RNA (HVUL_LNC006049)". Lineage: Eukaryota; Viridiplantae; Streptophyta; Magnoliopsida; Poales; Poaceae. The record is from RNAcentral.